CCAAAAUAUANNGGGGGGGNCCCCNGCCNNGNGCCUNCCCCCGGGGNGAGUAGCCCCCCCCNCCGCCNCNGGAAAAAAANNGCNGGGCCNNCGCCGUUAAAACCCCCCACUUUNUGAAAAGGUUUGACCUCCGGAUUCAGGUAGGGAAUACCCCNCGGAACCUUAAGCCAUAUCCAAUAAGNCGGAGGGAAAAGAAACCCNACCAGGGGAUUGCCCUAGUAACGGCGAGUGAAAGCGGGCAACAGCUCAAAUUUGAAAUCUGGCCCCUCGGGUUCCGAAUUGUAAUUUGUAGAGGAUGCUUUUGGUGAGGUACCUUCCGAGUUCCCUGGAACGGGACGCCAUAGAGGGUGAGAGCCCCGUCUGGUUGGAUACCGAUCCUCCUGUAAAGCUCCUUCGACGAGUCGAGUAGUUUGGGAAUGCUGCUCUAAAUGGGNNGNNUAUGUCUUUCUAAAGCUAAAUAUUGGCCAGAGNCCGAUAGCGCACAAGUAGAGUGAUCGAAAGAUGAAAAGCACUUUGAAAAGAGAGUUAAAAAGUACGUGAAAUUGUUGAAAGGGAAGCGCUCAUGACCAGACUUGGGCUUGGUUGAUCAUCCAGGGUUCUCCCUGGUGCACUCUUCCAGCCCAGGCCAGCAUCAGUUCGCUGUGGGGGAUAAAGGCUUUGGGAAUGUGGCUCCUCCGGGAGUGUUAUAGCCCAUUGUGUAAUACCCUGUGGUGGACUGAGGUUCGCGCAUCUGCAAGGAUGCUGGCGUAAUGGUCAUCAGCGACCCGUCU
This 770-nucleotide ribosomal RNA is filed under the name uncultured Fusarium. RNAcentral's name for it is "partial 28S ribosomal RNA". The stretch from base 127 to 770 matches the Rfam family "Eukaryotic large subunit ribosomal RNA", at positions 1 to 654 of the family's 3401-position model. Lineage: Eukaryota; Fungi; Ascomycota; Sordariomycetes; Hypocreales; Nectriaceae. The record is from RNAcentral.